RNAcentral lists this ribosomal RNA (483 nucleotides) under uncultured bacterium. RNAcentral describes it as "partial 16S ribosomal RNA". It matches the Rfam family "Bacterial small subunit ribosomal RNA", at positions 28 to 507 of the family's 1533-position model. The record is from RNAcentral.
GACGAACGCUGGCGGCGUGCUUAACACAUGCAAGUCGAACGCUGAAGCUCAGCUUUUGUUGGGUGGAUGAGUGGCGAACGGGUGAGUAACACGUGAGUAACCUGCCUCCUUCUUUGGGAUAACGCCCGGAAACGGGUGCUAAUACUGGAUAUUCACUGGUCUUCGCAUGGGGGUUGGUGGAAAGGGUUUUUCUGGUGGGGGAUGGGCUCGCGGCCUAUCAGCUUGUUGGUGGGGUGAUGGCCUACCAAGGCUUUGACGGGUAGCCGGCCUGAGAGGGUGACCGGUCACAUUGGGACUGAGAUACGGCCCAGACUCCUACGGGAGGCAGCAGUGGGGAAUAUUGCACAAUGGGCGCAAGCCUGAUGCGGCGACGCCGCGUGAGGGAUGGAGGCCUUCGGGUUGUGAACCUCUUUCGCUCAUGGUCAAGCCGCAACAAUGGUUGUGGUGAGGGUAGUGGGUAAAGAAGCGCCGGCUAACUACGUG